AGGAAAAACGCCAUGGACGAAGUCCAUAUUCAAAUGCGUUUUUCCGACCUGCCCCAGAGCGGAGCGAAGGGGCACUACCUU
This 81-nucleotide small RNA is filed under the name bovine gut metagenome. RNAcentral's name for it is "GA-cis RNA". It matches the Rfam family "GA-cis RNA". The record is from RNAcentral.